GUAGGGAAUAUUGGGCAAUGGAUGAAAGUCUGACCCAGCCAUGCCGCGUGCCGGAUGAAGGCGCUCAGCGUUGUAAACGGCUUUUAUUCGGGAAGAAGAGCAGGGAUGCGUCCCUGUGUGACGGUACCGAAUGAAUAAGCACCGGCUAACUCCGUGCCAGCAGCCGCGGUAAUACGGAGGGUGCAAGCGUUAUCCGGAAUCACUGGGUUUAAAGGGUACGUAGGCGGUUAAUUAAGUCAGUAGUGAAAGACUGUCGCUCAACGACGGAUGUGCUAUUGAUACUGGUUAACUUGAAUCAGGUUAGAGUUGGCGGAAUGGGUCAUGUAGCGGUGAAAUGCUUAGAUAUGACUUGGAACACCGAUAGCGAAGGCAGCUGACUGAGCCUUGAUUGACGCUGAGGUACGAAAGUGUGGGUAGCGAACAGGAUUAGAUACCCCAGUAGUCC
Molecule: ribosomal RNA, 445 nt
Filed under: uncultured bacterium
Lineage: Bacteria
Description: partial 16S ribosomal RNA
Rfam family: Bacterial small subunit ribosomal RNA
Source: RNAcentral